AUUACUGCGCUAUGGGGGCGACCCUAAUGCAGCCACGCCCCGUGUGUGAAGAGGGCCUUGGGGUUGAAGAGCACUUUUAAUUGGGAGGAAAGGUGCUACGUUAAUACCGUGCUGCUAUGACCUUACCCUUAAAUGAUGCACCGGCAAUUUCGUGCCAGCAGCCGCGGUAAUUUAGAGGGUGCGAGCGUUUAUCGAAUUUACUGGGAGUAAAGCGUGCGUAGGCGGUCUGUUAAGUCGGAUGUGUAAGCCCCGGGCUCAACCUUGGAACUGCAUUCGAUACUGGCCGACUAGACUCCCCGAGAGGGAGGUAGAAUUCCUCGUGUAGCGGUGAAAUGCGUAGAUAUGUGGAGGAAUACCGGUCGCGAAGGCGGCCUCCUGGCUCGAUACUGACGCUCAGGUCGAAAGCGUGGGGAGCAACCAGGAUUCGAUACCCUGGUAGUCCCCGCCCU
RNAcentral lists this ribosomal RNA (449 nucleotides) under uncultured marine bacterium. Its description in RNAcentral is "bacterial SSU rRNA". It matches the Rfam family "Bacterial small subunit ribosomal RNA", at positions 360 to 803 of the family's 1533-position model. The record is from RNAcentral.